CCCGACAAUGGCAUCGAUCAAAUAUCCAGCUUCUCCACCUUCGUUCAACUUUCUAUCUCUGGUUUCAUCGGCACAACUCAUUAAUUGAUUGGAUCUUUGUUUGACUCAUUUAUGAAUCAUGGAUCAAAUAGAUCUUGGUUAGAUCUGCCCAUGCAUUGAAGGAUUUGGACAGUCAAGAUUUUCAUUGUGGUUGGCUUAGGAUUCUCGGAUUGCCCAAUGGAUUUCUUGUUGUAAUAGUAUAGUGUUCUUUGGCCUCUUCUAAAAAUAACUUUCCGUAGUAUCAUCAUACAUUUCGAAGAUACAGACAGAGAAACUACAUGUGUUCAUGUGCACCCGCAUGCUUUUCUAGAAAAGUGAGGCCCAUGUGAAUUUGAUCAUCAAAUAGAAAUCAUAGGCUACCAACAUUUCAUAAUUGUUUAGUGGAUUAUACAAUGGCAAAAUCGGCAGCCAUCGCACUGUGCUCGCAGAAUACUACCAUAUAAAAACAAUGAUCAACACCAAACUAAAAUUACAUGUAAAAGAAGAUCAGAUAAUAACACCCGGCUAUUACAUAUGAGGCAAACAAAAAAAACCCUAAUCCGGUCAUACCCUAACCUUAACCGUCCAAACCUCAUCAUAAGUAAACAGAUGAACCAGGAUCAUUGAUCCAUCCUAUAAUGUGUCUCGAUUUGAUGGAACAUGGUCGAAGCCAUGCGGAACUAAUGAUCGAUGCUCAACGAAAAUCUAUUUGUAAAAAUAGAUCAAGAAACACCUUCCUGAUCUAUCAUGAAAACCAUGAACAAGUCUAACCAAGAGCGAUACGAGCAGAGGAAGGAGGAUAAGAACCUGAUGGUCACGGCUCCCUUGUUGGAUGGCGGCUCUCGACUCAAAACCCAUCGAUAAACAAGCCAGGGAUCGAGGAUGAAUCGAGGGCGACGCCAGUGGAUCCAACCCUCGGGACCUGCUCUUGGCGGUGUUCUUUCUCGGGACGAAAUGGAGACUGCUGUCUCCCUCUCCCGAGAAUACACGAAGAAUCCCCCGUUCGAUGAAAUAAAGGAUCGA
Molecule: long non-coding RNA, 1041 nt
Filed under: Musa acuminata (dwarf banana)
Lineage: Eukaryota; Viridiplantae; Streptophyta; Magnoliopsida; Zingiberales; Musaceae
Description: long non-coding RNA (MACU_LNC000983)
Source: RNAcentral